GAAUUCAACUCCUACGGGAGGCAGCAGUGGGGAAUAUUGGACAAUGGGCGAAAGCCUGAUCCAGCCAUGCCGCGUGUGUGAAGAAGGUCUUCGGAUUGUAAAGCACUUUAAGUUGGGAGGAAGGGCAUUAACCUAAUACGUUAGUGUCUUGACGUUACCGACAGAAUAAGCACCGGCUAACUCUGUGCCAGCAGCCGCGGUAAUACAGAGGGUGCAAGCGUUAAUCGGAAUUACUGGGCGUAAAGCGCACGCAGGCGGUUGGUUAAGUCAGAUGUGAAAGCCCCGGGCUCAACCUGGGAAUUGCAUUUGAAACUGGCCAACUAGAGUAUGUGAGAGGGGGGUAGAAUUCCAAGUGUAGCGGUGAAAUGCGUAGAGAUUUGGAGGAAUACCAGUGGCGAAGGCGGCCCCCUGGCACAAUACUGACGCUCAGGUGCGAAAGCGUGGGGAGCAAACAGGAUUAGAAACCCGAGUAGUCCAGGCGUU
RNAcentral lists this ribosomal RNA (483 nucleotides) under uncultured bacterium. RNAcentral describes it as "bacterial SSU rRNA". It matches the Rfam family "Bacterial small subunit ribosomal RNA", at positions 328 to 803 of the family's 1533-position model. The record is from RNAcentral.